This 392-nucleotide ribosomal RNA is filed under the name uncultured eukaryote. Its description in RNAcentral is "partial 18S ribosomal RNA". It matches the Rfam family "Eukaryotic small subunit ribosomal RNA", at positions 592 to 976 of the family's 1831-position model. The record is from RNAcentral.
CAAUAGCGUAUACUAAAGUUGUUGCGAUUAAAAAGCUCGUAGUUGGAUCUCAGGCAUGGGCGCACGGUCCGCCUCGCGGCGGUCACUGUGUGUUUUGUUUCCCAUCCUACGCUUCCCGGUUAUCAGCCCAUGGUGCUCUUCACUGAGCGUUUUGGGUGGCCGGAACGUUUACUUUGAAGAAAUUAGAGUGUUCAAAGCAGGCACGUCGCCUGAAUAAUGGUGCAUGGAAUAAUGGAAUAGGACCUCGGUUCUAUUUUGCUGGUUUUCGGAACACGAGGUAAUGAUUAAGAGGGACAGACGGGGGCAUCCGUAUUGCGGUGUUAGAGGUGAAAUUCUUGGAUCAUCGCAAGACGAACAACUGCGAAAGCAUUUACCAAGCAUGUUUUCAUUAG